Paramuricea clavata is the source of this 1380-nucleotide non-coding RNA. Lineage: Eukaryota; Metazoa; Cnidaria; Anthozoa; Malacalcyonacea; Plexauridae. The record is from the annotation of a GenBank genome assembly.
GUCAUUUUGAGCGUUAUACUGGCCAACACUCUUCGCAAUCAAACAAGAGAAGUCUACACUAUCAGAUAAAAACUUAUCGAGCGACUGGGAAAACAAGGAAUGGCGCAAUUUACAAUACAAGUAAAUGAUCAUAAAAUAUUGCAUUAGUGUUUACCUUGUUACACUCGAAUUUCUGCGUUUAUUUAACACGGAUAUAUGAGAAAUAGUGUUACAAACAAGUUACGUACUUAGUUGGGUCGUCAAGUAGGAUUGAAAUAGCCAAUAAAAAUUUUCGUUGCCAUUGUCCUUUAAAAUAUCACAUCAUAUUUUCUCUGAAGUAUUAUUUCAACUUUCAUGCUCAGAUUUAAUAGAUACAUUUUGGAAAAAAGCCGUUCGUUUUUUAGUUAACUUUUUUAUUUACUCCAGCCAUCGCCGCCAGCAAACAUUUUUUUGUCAAUUUUCCCGCGUUUUUCCCCGUUUCCUAGGAUACGCAAUCUCGGACCCAGAGCAAUGCCUGUGCGCGGGCUAGGAAGGCAUUGGCUCUGGGGAAAUUGACAACCGGAACCCCUAAAUUUAGGGGUUCCGGUUCUUUGUCGGCACGCACUAUUGAUAAACGUUCACCAAUCACAGCACAGGAAAAAUUCAAUUUCCCCAGAGCCAAUGCCUUUCUUACCUGCGCUCAGGCAUUGCUCUGGGUACGAGAUUGUAGGAUACGAGGCCUCAUCACGAUUUAUGAAUAAGGUCUAUGAAGGACAAAAAUGCUUGCAAACACAAGAGAAAAAUUGCCAAGAUAACAUACACGUCAUGUCAGCAGAAUUGCAAAAAAGGUUGUCGUUUACAAACCUUAAACCAUAAACUCUAAGCGUGCAAAGCAUAAUGGGAGCAUCAUUUAAUCAGUUAAGAAAUCACUUAUGGGGCCCAUUUUUGAGAGACAUGGUAAAUAUCUCCUUAUACGAGAACAAUUCAUUCGCAAAUAGCUGCAAUAUUCAACUACUAAGCUUGCUUUUGCUCCCAUUUAGCUUUGCGCGCUUAGAGUUUAAGGUUUAAAGUUUAAAAGGUUUGCAAAGGACAACCUUUUUUUAAUAUUUCACGUCAUGUUCUACUUUACAGACCCCGUUGAAGUUAUAGAAAUCCAUUAAAUAAGUGAUGCUUAUAAGUAAGCCACAAACGAGAGAUCCCAGACCCGUGUAGAGGUCCUAUUACCUAUCCCAAAAUUAAAAUAAAUCAGGAAUAAAUCACGUAAAAGUACUCCAGAAAAUGUUUACUUUGUUACUGUACAUGCUGACUUCUCAAAAAUAGUACUCUAGUACAGUAACGAAGUACAUUUACUUCGUUACUUGACACCACUAGGAUUUAAAGGCAAUUUUCCAUUGCAUGCAAUCGCUUCAGGGCCGCAGAUAG